Long non-coding RNA from Helianthus annuus (common sunflower), 2297 nucleotides. RefSeq lists it as uncharacterized. The transcript has 10 exons. The record is from RefSeq and is a predicted model, not a curated record. Lineage: Eukaryota; Viridiplantae; Streptophyta; Magnoliopsida; Asterales; Asteraceae.
UUUAUUCUUCUUUGCAGAUUCAGGUAAACCACAAAGAUGGAAUCGAAUCCUAUGUAUUCUUUUGUCUCUGUUAUUGAUAUGGUUCAGUUUUCUGCCCAUCUUUAUUUGAUGAGAAACCCUAAUUCUUCUUCAUCUCCUCUCAACAUACGUCAGGAUUGACAAAUCUUUGUUCAAUUCUCCAUUAUAUUCUUUUAAGAAGCACCAAAAUGGGCAUAAAUUGUGAUAUCCACAACCAUAUGUUAUCCAAUUGAUACAGGUAUGUUGAAACCCUUUGAUCCAUUCCUUUUUCUCCCUCUAAACCUUAUCUGCGCAUACGCAAGCAACAAUGGUGUCUCAAGUUAGCUUUUUUACAAUCGAUUAUGUAGAUUUGAUAUCGCAAUUUCAUCUGAAAGUAAUGUUUUGAACAUUUUCAACUCCUUCUGCUACCAUCUCUAAGGAUCAAAACCCUAUUUUCAACUCCUUGAAUCAAAAAUUUCAAGUAUAAUCAUCAUUUUCUUUCAUUCAUAAUGUUCUGCAAAGGUAAGCAUUAGGUUCGUUUUUUUAUUUCUUGAAUUAGGGCUUCAUUUUCAUAUGAUUAGAUUCUUCUGUUCGUUUAUGUUACAUAUAUAUGUGUCUUAAUUGCCCGGCUACGAGCAAAUGUAAGGGUUUUGAAGAACAUGAAAUUAGGGUUUAGUACUCAUUAGUACCGAUUUGGAUAUGGAGUUAAUUUUGAAGAACAAACCCGUGUAUAUAAAGCAUCUAAAAAACCUAAAUUUCUCUACAUCCACAUUCUUCUCUUUCGCCGCAUCAUACUUGAAACCCUAGAUUCACAUCUUAGCUACGUCUUCCUUUGCCUUGAAGCUUCUACCAUACGCUUUCCUAAAACCCUAAACUAUCAUCUACUUCUUCUUCUUCUACUUGCAUCUCAUUCUCUCUUAAUCACUUAGGCUUGAAUGGCUUAACAAAGGAUUCAAAAAUCAAGCUUAUUCACUUCCAGUUUCAUCGACAAUGAGGAAGAUGGUGAUGGCGGUGGCGGUGGCCUAAAUAGGAACAAUGGCAACGGCAUGGGUUAAUUUAGGGUUUCUCUUCUCUAUCAAUUAUUCCUUUGUAACGUUGGCGGUGGCCUGAAGAGAAAUGAUGUCGGCGACAAUAGUUGACUUAGGGUUUCUUCAGUUCGGGUGAUGUGAUCGUUCAUUUAGGGAUUUGGAAACUAUCAAUCAGGGCUUUUUCGUUCUGUUUACGUUUUCAGUAUCUAGCGAUUGGUGAUGUUGAUUAACUCCGACAGCAAGAAUGAUGCCUGGGUUAUUUGUUUUCGAUGAUGCAAUCAAUUUUGGAUUUAUAAGUUGUUCACACCAUUGCAAGAUAUAUUAUGCCAUUGACUUAGCUAUAGACUGCAAGGAUACUCAACAUGAUCUUUGGAGUAGAAUUAUCAGAGAUGAAUAUAUGGCAUAUGCUGUCCAGGAAUGCUAUUAUAGUAUUGAGAAAAUUCUACUGUCUUUAAUUGACGGUGAAGGAAAACUCUGGGUUGAGAGGAUUUUUCGUGAGAUCAACAAUAGUAUAGAGGAGAAUUCACUUGUCAUGACUUUAAAUCUUAAGAAGCUUCAUUUUGGUGCUGUCAAGAUUUACUGCAUUGACUGGUCUUCUGAUCAUGGAUGAAACUCCUCAGCUUGCAAAAGGAGCUGCGAAAGCUGUGUAUGAGUUAUAUGAUGUAGUAACUCACAAUCUCCUGACAUCUGAGCUAGGAGUGCGAAUGCAUUAUGGACAUCCUCAUGUCUUUGACUGAAUAUUUCAUAUUUCUCGAGGUGGAAUAAAUUAAAGGGAAAAUGAGAGUGCUUCAUGAUGUAGAGAGAGACGAGAAACAGAAGCCAGGAACGUCGACUCUUGGAAUCAUGUUUUGGUGCUUCAGAUCCUACAAAAAAAUGUUCAAAUAAUCGCAGGUUUUGAUUCAGAAUUCAGAAACAUGGUUUUGGCCAGGCUGUAGGCAAUAUCCUCUUCCCUUCGCAAAACCCUAAAUUGCCCUUUUCUAGAAUCCAGGUUCAUUCUAAACAUUGUCUUACUGAUUCUCUAUUGUAACCUUUAAUUUUAUUGUUUUGUGUCUAAUUUAUAUGUUAAUAAUUUCAAUCGCUCAAAUGAUGAUGAGCUCUGCCGCGGGAGUCGGUGCUGAAGGCCUGGUUGAUGAAAUAGGCCGAUAUCGGAACUGUGAUCAGGCUGCGGUUUCGAGUUAUUGGGGAGAUCUAACCGAGUGGACAUGGAACUGUUGUAUGGUGAAGCGGUUGACGGAUGUUCGAAGGACGAAAUCUGAGGUUUACGAAGGAUUU